UGAUAAUUAAGACUGAGCUAGCAGAUGAGAAGUCCUAGUCAUUGGCCAAGAAGCUUUGUACCUAAUACAAGUUUCUGUGUAUUCAUUUGGGCCUAACUCGGUCAGGUGGCUGGCCUAAAGCGUACACAUGGCGGUGGGGCUCAGCGGCUUUUGGCGGAAAGAUUUAUCAUUUUCCUUUGAUUUUUUUCUGUUAUUUUGUUCUUGCUCUUUGCUGAGUUUUAAAAAAUGUAGUUAUUAUAUAUAACCAAAGAUAACUGUAAAUAUAUUUUACAUGGUCUAUGGCUUUACUGAGUCUUUCUGUGUCUCUCUGCCUCUCUCAACUGAUGUAUGUCUAUUUGUAUGUGUGCACUGAAUAAUUUUUAUGAUAUUUACUUGUCCAACAAUUCUAGGAUUACUAUUGUCCUAAAGUUGGUGUCUAUUGUGUUUUGAGUUGAUUCAUAUUUUUGUAUCAAAAUAUGAGCAUUUUCAUUAACUUGUGAGGUUAUGGAUUUUAUUAAUUUUCCUUUAGCUGGCUUCUUCUGCUAUCCCUUCAGCAAUGGCAGUGGGGCCCCACUUUAUUAGUGCCAAGUGAUGGUAGAAGUCUAAAUUCUCUAGUUUUCAUUCACAGAUACCAAAUGGUACAGAAGCUUAUAACUGCUGGGCAUGGCUGGCAGUUCUGGUUCUCUGGCUGUCCCUGCAGAUACAAUUCUUGUCACCACUCCCCAUCUGGUCUCCAUUGAUACCAUCUGGUUUCCACUGAAUUCUGGGAGGUGAUCAAAGCCCUCCCUUCUCUUUAGUCUUAUAUGUCAUCAGCCCAAAGUGAUGGAAGGAGGACCCUUGGUAAUUCUAGGUAGGAAUGGAGUUCAGGAUCCUCACUUGAUCCAGGAACACCAUGGGAGAUGCUGCUGCUGACAUGACUGCCAAGCCUUGGGAGAAGCCCUGGUCCCUGCAGCAUGAUCUGCUCUAUCCCAGGGGGAAGCACUGAAUACCUUCAUACAGACUAUUGGGGUGGCGUUCCAAUCUUCCCACACAGCUAUUUCAGACCUUGAGAUGAACAGAACAUGGAAUGACCCACCACAGGAUUAACUAUGACCAAGCAACAGUGAUGGCCAUCUUAGAGAACAGCUAACAUAUGACACCACUUCAAAAGCAGAAACAUUGCUUAGGAAACAAGCAGCAGAUGGAGGGUCUUCUGGACUGGAACAUACAGUAUAACUCAGGAUGAAUGCAAACCUAAAAUGAUGCCCCUGUGUUUGUCACCUGACUGCUGAGAUAACAGGCAUGUACCCUCCUCUUGUAUUAUCUGCAGGUGAUUAGAGAAGUUGAAGAAUUGAAAGCAUUUGUAUACAGCGAACUCAAUAAUUUCUUCACUGAGUCGAUUUUUCUGUGAAAAAAAGUAGGGAACAAAAUUCAGUCAUAUUUUUAUUAUGUUCAAUCAAUCAUACACUUUUCUAUGCCUUAAAAAUAAAGACUUUUUUUUCUGUAUCAAA
Cricetulus griseus (Chinese hamster) is the source of this 1469-nucleotide non-coding RNA. The record is from RefSeq and is a predicted model, not a curated record. NCBI's taxonomy places the organism in Eukaryota, Metazoa, Chordata, Mammalia, Rodentia, Cricetidae.